Vanessa tameamea is the source of this 409-nucleotide long non-coding RNA. RefSeq lists it as uncharacterized. NCBI's taxonomy places the organism in Eukaryota, Metazoa, Arthropoda, Insecta, Lepidoptera, Nymphalidae. The record is from RefSeq and is a predicted model, not a curated record. The transcript has 3 exons.
AUGAAUGGAAUAUUUACAAAUGUUUUGUGGUAUUUGGAAUUCGUAGCCUUUGCCGUAACGUUGAUUUUAUUUUUCUGUUUCAUUUUGUAUAUAACUAAAGUAAAUUACGUGUCAUAUAAUAUGCGGUACGACAUGCGGCAGAAAUACAUGGCUGACGGCACGUGGUUUAUACAAGGCUAAGUAUAUGGAAGCGAAUAACAAGCAUAAAGCUAUACUCUUAGAACAAGUAAUAUGUACGAAGCCUAUACGAAAACGAAAGUUGAAGAAACCGAAUCAGAGACCCGUGUGCUGUGAUUUGGGAUGUGUUUGGUUCUGUAGACUUAUAGGGAGUAUCAUGACAAUUGCUUUGUGUUAUUUCGGAGCCUACGCAUUUAUAUCAGAUACGAAAUUGAAAUUUGGAUUGUUUGUG